Molecule: long non-coding RNA, 1034 nt
Organism: Panicum virgatum (switchgrass)
Lineage: Eukaryota; Viridiplantae; Streptophyta; Magnoliopsida; Poales; Poaceae
Exons: 2
Source: RefSeq, a predicted model, not a curated record
CAAAUCCUAAAGCUCCACUGUCUCCCUCUACCACCCUAAUAGCCGGCAAUCUCGCCGGCGGCCGCUCCCUCUACCUCCCACCUCUUCUUGGCGGCUACUCCACCCCCUCCCUCUCCCCUAGCUCGGCGGCGGCCGCUCACUCCCUUCCCUCCCCUUCCCGUAGCUCACCGGCGGCCGCUCACCCCUUGUGCAAUAGCUCCGCUCCCACCCACGGGCUAAAUAACUCCACGCGCACCCUGCCCCCGUCCCUCCCUACAGCUGUCGGAUGUUCGCCGGCAAUCUGUUUGGAUAGACCGGGACCGGCGGGGUUUGGACCCGAACGCCCUCAUCCAGGGGAGGAAACUCACACCGGGAAAAGAUCCACCUGAUGCAUCGAAACUGCAUUCGCGAGCACGGGUUUCGAUUUUGGAAUGCUUCCACCCCAAACCUUACCAAGACGCGUGGGUCUGACUCCGCUCCACCUCAAAUCGGGACAUCUCGUGUGCUCGUGUCGAGCUCGCUCUGCUCGGCGUUCCCCAAGAAGGCGCCGCCGCCGCCGCCACGCUCCCGUGCAGAAGGGAUGCUCGAAGAAGGGGCCUCCGCCGCCGCCGGCGCUCCCGCGCAGCAGGGAUUCCAGGUGCGCUCCUUUUCCCUCGUCUCCUCCGCGUCACUCCUCCCUUUCCCCUGCCCUUUCUCCUGGUAGGUGGUCACUUCGCCAUCAGUUUCUGGUGGGCAGCCUCGCGUCAGCUGCGGCUCAUGCACUUGCUUCUUCUCCCCUGCUGGCAGAAGAGCAGCCUGUGUCCCCAGCGUUUCUGUGGAUGAUUCAUUCAAUAUGACCUUGUAUGAGUUUCAACGGCAAGUCCAAGUGGUUUCAGAGUUCUUUGACAUUCAUCUGUUGCUCAACACUUUGAUUGAUACCCCUAUUUAGUUAUUUUAGAAUCUUGAGAACAUGUCUUAUUUUCCAGAAUUCGUAUUUAUGUGAAAGGUAUCCAGUUCAAUAUGCUGAGAGCCCUGUUUUUAAAAACAUUUUUAAACGUUGUUUAAUCUUGAUUAAA